GCCUCCGUAGCUUAACGGCAGAGCAGCGGUUUUGUAAACCGCAGGUUGUGGGUUCAAGUCCCACCGGAGGCU
RNAcentral lists this transfer RNA (72 nucleotides) under Candidatus Woesearchaeota archaeon. Its description in RNAcentral is "tRNA-Thr". It matches the Rfam family "tRNA". Rfam says of the family: Transfer RNA (tRNA) molecules are approximately 80 nucleotides in length. The record is from RNAcentral. Lineage: Archaea; Nanobdellati; Candidatus Woesearchaeota.